CCUACGGGAGGCAGCAGUGGGGGAUAUUGCACAAUGGGGGAAACCCUGAUGCAGCGACGCCGCGUGUGGGAAGACGGUCCUCUGGAUUGUAAACCACUGUCCCCAGGGACGAAGAUGACGGUACCUGGGGAGGAAGCUCCUGCUAACUACGUGCCCGCAGCCGCGGUCAUACGUAGGGAGCGAGCGUUGUCCGGAAUUACUGGGUUGAAAGGGAGCGUAGGCGGGAAUGUAAGUUGGUUGUCAAAACUACGGGCUCAACUGGUAGUCGCCAUUAAAACUGCAGCUCUUGAGUGAAGUAGAGGUAGGCGGAAUAAGUAGAGUAGCGGUGAAAUGCGUAGAUAUUAGGAGGAACACCAGUGGCGAAGGCGGCCUGCUGGGCUUUUACUGACGCUGAGGCUCGAGAGUGUGGGGAGCAAACAGGAUUAGAUACCCUUGUAGUC
This 440-nucleotide ribosomal RNA is filed under the name uncultured bacterium. RNAcentral describes it as "partial 16S ribosomal RNA". It matches the Rfam family "Bacterial small subunit ribosomal RNA", at positions 338 to 795 of the family's 1533-position model. The record is from RNAcentral.